UUGGUGUUGAGCGAUACGCUGGGUUUGCUUGAAAGAAAGGCCGGAGUAUAAACUAAUGGAUAGGUUUUUUCCACUCAUUGGUACAAACUCCAAAACUUCUUCCAAAUUCGACCUCAAAUCAGGUAGGACUACCCGCUGAACUUAAGCAUAUCAAUAAGCGGAGGAAAAGAAACCAACAGGAUUGCCUUAGUAGCGGCGAGUGAAGCGGCAAAAGCUCAAAUUUGAAAUCUGGCACUUUCAGUGUCCCGAGUUGUAAUUUGAAGAAGGUAUCUUUGGGUCUGGCUCUUGUCUAUGUUUCUUGGAACAGAACGUCACAGAGGGUGAGAAUCCCGUGCGAUGAGAUGUCCCAGACCUAUGUAAAGUUCCUUCGAAGAGUCGAGUUGUUUGGGAAUGCAGCUCUAAGUGGGUGGUAAAUUCCAUCUAAAGCUAAAUAUUGGCGAGAGACCGAUAGCGAACAAGUACAGUGAUGGAAAGAUGAAAAGAACUUUGAAAAGAGAGUGAAAAAGUACGUGAAAUUGUUGAAAGGGAAGGGCUUGAGAUCAGACUUGGUAUUUUGUAUGUUACUCUCUCGGGGGUGGCCUCUACAGUUUACCGGGCCAGCAUCAGUUUGAGCGGUAGGAUAAGUGCAAAGAAAUGUGGCACUGCUUCGGUAGUGUGUUAUAGUCUUUGUCGAUACUGCCAGCUUAGACUGAGGACUGCGGCUUCGGCCUAGGAUGUUGGCAUAAUGAUCUUAAGUCGCCCGUCUUGAAACACGGACCAAGGAGUCUAACGUCUAUGCGAGUGUUUGGGUGUAAAACCCGUACGCGUAAUGAAAGUGAACGUAGGUAGGACCUCCUUUAGGAGUGCACUAUCGACCGAUCCUGAUGUCUUCGGAUGGAUUUGAGUAAGAGCAUAGCUGUUGGGACCCGAAAGAUGGUGAACUAUGCCUGAAUAGG
This 935-nucleotide ribosomal RNA is filed under the name Lodderomyces parapsilosis. RNAcentral describes it as "LSU rRNA". The stretch from base 109 to 935 matches the Rfam family "Eukaryotic large subunit ribosomal RNA", at positions 1 to 845 of the family's 3401-position model. Lineage: Eukaryota; Fungi; Ascomycota; Pichiomycetes; Serinales; Debaryomycetaceae. The record is from RNAcentral.